Molecule: ribosomal RNA, 427 nt
Filed under: uncultured bacterium
Lineage: Bacteria
Description: partial 16S ribosomal RNA
Rfam family: Bacterial small subunit ribosomal RNA
Source: RNAcentral
UGGGGAAUAUUGGACAAUGGGCGAAAGCCUGAUCCAGCCAUGCCGCGUGUGUGAAGAAGGUCUUCGGAUUGUAAAGCACUUUAAGUUGGGAGGAAGGGCAUUAACCUAAUACGUUAGUGUUUUGACGUUACCGACAGAAUAAGCACCGGCUAACUCUGUGCCAGCAGCCGCGGUAAUACAGAGGGUGCAAGCGUUAAUCGGAAUUACUGGGCGUAAAGCGCGCGUAGGUGGUUUGUUAAGUUGGAGGUGAAAGCCCCGGGCUCAACCUGGGAACUGCAUUCAAAACUGAGUGACUAGAGUAUGGUAGAGGGUGGUGGAAUUUCCUGUGUAGCGGUGAAAUGCGUAGAUAUAGGAAGGAACACCAGUGGCGAAGGCGACCACCUGGACUAAUACUGACACUGAGGUGCGAAAGCGUGGGGAGCAAACA